GCCGGGGAGGCGGGGCAGUCUGUGGAGGAGACAGCAGCCGCGGGUCCUGGCGCAGAAUGUAGCAGCCGGCAGGGAGAGGAUGUCCCAGCUUCGAGGAAGUUACCCAUAUAACACCGGCAGCUGCAGAGACUUUGCAGCUUGGAGAUAGAUGCCUGAGCUUCUCCUGCCACCAGUCCACGCCGGCAUCUACUGUGACAGCAUGUCCAGCACAACAGUCACACAUAGCAGAGCCACGGAGGUCCUAUUAUCCAGCAGGUACGCCAGAGAAGCAGCACAGCCAGGCCACAGCCAACACUGCCUAGAGCUGAUGAUGGUGGGAAUGCAGGUUCUUCGUCUGUUCCGCCUCCACUAAGGCGCCCAUCACAGGGCAGCGUUACUGUGGCUACAAGGCCACCCAAGAGGCCCCGUGUUCAUGCUCCUGCUCCUGCACCAGCAUCACCACCCCAAAGGCGCAUCUCUGCAGUGUCUGCCAUGCCACCACUCGCUCUUUUGGCCAGCCCCCAAAAGUGAGGAUCCACAAUCCCCACAGUUGUCUGACCCAGCCAUCAUGAGCGACGAUGUCCAGCAGGACCGUGCCCAGGAGACCUUUACACUCCACCUGCAGCCCAUCGAUCCAACACAGGCAAACAUGCCUCAGGACAUACCCCAACCACCUCAAACAUCCCAAAGCCCCCAAAUGAGCACAACACCAGGGCCAACACAAAUGGGCCAAGAGUUUUGGUCAGGUUGGGCCUCACAACAGGCACAACACUACGCGUGCCUCACCACCAAAACACAAUACCUGUCAAGUCUGCCCCAUCAUUUGCCAAGAGUGAGUCGCAACUCGGGCAGACUCAUAGUGCAGGUGGGCAGAAUUGCGAACACUAUGGAGCAGAUGAGGGCAGACAACACCCAAAUGCAGGCUAACCUUCAGCGCAUCUUGGAUGAUCAACAGCGGCAGCAGCAAACACUAAUCCAGAUGAUCCAGCAUAACCAAUUAAUCAAUAACAAUCUGUCUCGAAUGAUUGGAAACAACACUGCCGCUUAUACACAGCUAAUGGCAAGUUUGAACAUUCUAACCCAAAAUCUAAGUGUGUUGGGCCCACACCAUGUGACCUCGAGCUCAGGGACAACAACCCCAAGCCAAACCCCAGUUCAAUCCCCAGUUUGACGUUCAAGUCGAAGCCGCACCCACGAGCCACCACAAUCCUCUGCACCCAGCACCCAAAAACGAAAAAAAUAAUAUUGACUGGCCAGAAUAUGGUGGCCAUUUAAUUAUUUAAAAUCUGUU
Pseudophryne corroboree (corroboree frog) is the source of this 1270-nucleotide long non-coding RNA. RefSeq lists it as uncharacterized. The record is from RefSeq and is a predicted model, not a curated record. The transcript is spliced from 5 exons. NCBI's taxonomy places the organism in Eukaryota, Metazoa, Chordata, Amphibia, Anura, Myobatrachidae.